UGGGGAAUAUUGGACAAUGGGCGCAAGCCUGAUCCAGCCAUGCCGCGUGAGUGAUGAAGGCCCUAGGGUUGUAAAGCACUUUCACCGGUGAAGAUAAUGACGGUAACCGGAGAAGAAGCCCCGGCGAACUUCGUGCGAGCAGCCGCGGUAUUACGAAGGGGGUUAGCGUUGUUCGGAUCUACUGGGCGUAAAGCGCACGUAGGCGGACUUUUAAGUCAGGGGUGAAAUCCCGGGGCUCAACCCCGGAAAUGCCUUUGAUACUAGAAGUCUUGAGUAUGGUAGAGAUGAGUGGAAUACCCAGUGUAGAAGUGAAAUGCGUAGAUAUUCGGAGGAACACCAGUGGCGAAGGCGGCUCACUGGACCAUUACUGACGCUGAGGUGCGAAAGCGUGGGGAGCAACCAGA
This 404-nucleotide ribosomal RNA is filed under the name Actinomycetes bacterium. RNAcentral describes it as "Actinobacteria bacterium partial 16S ribosomal RNA". It matches the Rfam family "Bacterial small subunit ribosomal RNA", at positions 355 to 776 of the family's 1533-position model. The record is from RNAcentral. Lineage: Bacteria; Bacillati; Actinomycetota; Actinomycetes.